This 253-nucleotide ribosomal RNA is filed under the name uncultured bacterium. Its description in RNAcentral is "partial 16S ribosomal RNA". It matches the Rfam family "Bacterial small subunit ribosomal RNA", at positions 524 to 776 of the family's 1533-position model. The record is from RNAcentral.
GACGAGGGGUCCAAGCGUUGUUCGGAAUUAUUGGGCGUAAAGCGGGUGUAGGUGGCUCUAUAAGUCAGGAGUGAAAUCCCCAAGCUUAACUUGGGAAGUGCUUUUGGUACUGCAGAGCUUGAAUGUGGGAGAGGAUAAUAGAAUUCCAGGUGUAGUGGUGAAAUACGUAGAUAUCUGGAGGAAUACCGGUGGCGAAGGCGGUUAUCUGGCCCAACAUUGACACUGAGACCCGAAAGCGUGGGGAUCAAACAGG